Molecule: long non-coding RNA, 5038 nt
Filed under: Sus scrofa (pig)
Lineage: Eukaryota; Metazoa; Chordata; Mammalia; Artiodactyla; Suidae
Description: lncRNA (ENSSSCG00025066325.1)
Source: RNAcentral
UUUUUUUUUUUUUGUCUUUUCUAGGGCUGCUCCUGCGGCAUAUGGAGGUUCCCAGGCUAGGGGUCCCAUCAGAGCUGUAGCUACUGUCCUACGCCAGAGCCACAGAAACAUGGGAUCCGAGCCGCGUCUGCAACCUACACCUCAGCUCACGGCAAUGCCGGAUCCUUAACCCACUGAGCAAGGACAGGGAUUGAACCCGAAACCUCAUGGUUCCUAAUCGGACUUGCUAACUACUGAACCAUGAUGGGAACUCUCACUUCUACAAUUUUAAAUUUCCUGAUAGUAACAUUAAGAAGGUAAAAAGAGACAGGUGAAAUUAAUCAUCAUAUAUGUUAACUCAAUAUAUCCAAAUGGUAUCAUUUCAACAUAUAACCAAUGUAAACAAAUAUUAAUAUUUUACAUUCCUUUUUCUCAUUUUUGUCAUUAAAAUCCAGUAUACAUUUUAAACACUUCGGCACAUUUCAAUUCACACUUCAACUUGGAUGAGUUACAUUUCAGUGGCUCAAUAGCCAUGGGGGGCUGGUGGCUACCAUGUGGAUUAUACAGCUGAGGAGUUGGCACAAUUGUCAAAAGGUCCAGAGUUCCAGCUUACUUCUAAAUUGUGUAUUUUGGAAUGACUGGCCUGUAAGUAAUGAAUACAUACUACUUUCUUUAAAGACUUUUUAUGUCCUUUUUUUUUUUUUUUUUUUUUUUUUUUUUGUCUUAUUACAGCCAUACCUGUGGCAUAUGGAGGUUCCCAGGCUAGGGGUCCAAUCAGAGCCACAGCCACAGCAAUGCCAGCAGAUCCGAGCCGUGUCUGCGACCUACACCACCGCUCACGGGAACGCCAGAUCCUUAACCCACAGAUCAAGGCCAGGGAUCGAACCCACAACCUCAUGAUUCCUAGUCGAAUUCAUUUCCCCUGCACCGUGACGGGAACUUCCCAAGACUUUUUAAAAAGAAAAAAAGCCAUUACUACUAAAUGGCUCUGAACGAGUAAUUUCAAUCUUCUUGGGCUUCAGCUUCAUCAGCUGUAAAAGGAGAUGAAAAAAUGCCAACACAAUUUUCCUUACAGGGCUACUGUAAGGAUCACGUGCUUAAUGCGAGGCAAUGAAAGUGUUUGGUAAAGUGCUAUGCAAAUGCUAAUUAUUGUUAUUAUAGCUCCUGCAAGAGAACAGAUCAUCAUUGCAAAUCAAUAGCAUUCUUUUCUUCAGUCUACGAAUAUUUUGCCCACAGCUGUCCUUUCUUCCCAGAGGAAUGAGAAUGGUAAGAAAUGCAUAUUUCUGUUACUGGAUCAGAAAUGUACUUUAAAAAAAAAGAAAAGAAACGUACUCUACAAAACAAACCCAUCAAAAUUUCCAAGUGAUAUUCAAACUGUUUUGUUGACUAGAUAAUUUGUUAAAAUGGAGACCCUGCAUUUAAAACAGGAAGACAUCCCCGGUCAACAAAUUCUAAGGGAACUAACUAGCCUCCUAGAGAAUCAGCCUAUUUAUUAUUUAUUACUGCUUUUUCAGGACUGCACCCAUGGCAUAUGGAGGUUCCCAGGCUAGGGGUUCAAUCGGAGCUACAGCUGCUGGCCUACACCACAGCUCAUGGCAACGCCGGAUCCUUAACCCACUGAGUGAGGCCAGGGAUCGAACCCCCAACCUCAUGGUUCCUAGUCGGAUUUGUUUCCCCUGUGCCACAAGAGGAACCCCGAAUCAGCCAAUUUAAAAGACACAUUCUGAACUAGUGAACAAAGCUGGAGAACCUCCCCCCCCUCUCCCCCAUCCCAUUUUGUUCCUUUUCCUCCAGCCUUCUGACUCUUUAAGGGUUUUCCCAAAUUAUCUGUGAACGUGGGUGGUUGGAAACAAUAUUUGAAGAUUGAGAAGAGAGCUGAUGUCUAAAUAUUUCUUGAUGGUUGAACAAAAAGACACCCCUCCCCCCCCCAAUCUGCUAUGACAAUGAAGACAAAUAACAUAAGCCUUGAGUAGCAAUUAAGUGAAAACGUGAGUGGUACAGAAUUAUUUGGUAAAGAGUGACUUAUACAGCAAGAAACCAGAGAAAGCUUUAGUCUUCGAGGAAUAAUUGAGGGCAGAGAACAAAUCCUUGUUUUCAAAGGCCAUCUGGGGUCCUUGGCAACAGCAGCCUUGCCUGGCAGCAGGCAUGAAGGCCACAAGUGACAGCAUCUUCUUUACAGCUCAGCCACACUCAUGGCUUUGAAGGUUCCUAAAAGUCCAGACUGUAUCUAAGAUAAGCCUUUUGUAAAGUGUGUUUUGCACGAUGUUUCCAGGCAUUUCAAUGUUGGGGGUGUGGAGUGCGGAACAGGCGAGCGUUCAAUGACCAAAAGAGUUUUGGGAAAUCCUGGAUCCACGCGAAGUCCAGCAGGUUCUUCCACUACUCAGACUUCAACGUGACAGUGUCCAGAGGGGGAGAGGGCUCUGGCCGGGGACUGGACCGUUUCUCAAAUACCAGAGAUCUGGAGUAUUCUCAGGCGGACACGAUCACAUCUUCAGACACUUCCACUUUCACACAUGGUCACAAAACACACAAAAAUGAAAGUAGGUUCUCUCCGGAGACCAGCGGAAUAUCUGAUUUGCUGAUUUCACACUUGGAAAACUAACUGCACAUCAAAGCGGACCCUUAGCAGCACCAGAUUUAGCGCCCCCUGAUGUCACAGCAGCAGCUACACCCCCCAACCUGCGGUUUCUCUGUUCCAGCUCCCGGGCUCUCCCCAGGCAGGCCUCCCUGGAGAAAGCUGUGGCCCCUAAUCAAAGGCAUUUCUGCUUUUGUGCCUCAAGGUACUCAUAUAAAAGGCAUAAACAUUCUGAUACAGAAGGUGUAAACAUUCUGGAACAAAAUAUAAUCAUAACUUUGAUGGUUAUUGUCUUAACCUGGGGAUGCACAGAGCUUGCUCAGAGUAGGAAUUGUACCCUGAAAGAAGAGCCCUGACUUUUCUCCUCUAGACCCAAUUGGGCAAUUUCAAAAACCUAUGUUUUUACCUUUCUGAACUGAUGACAUCACGGUUAAAUCUGAACAGUGUUUGGCAGUGGAUCCCAAACAAGGGCCGAAGACCCUCGAAGAGGGUCUGUGGGUCAUUUCAAAGGUCUUCCAACCAUAUGAGCACCAAAAACCGCCUGCAGACCAAACACUCAAAAGAACACUGCAAUUAUAUGAGGGAAUCCAAGGAACCUUUUUUUUUGGUCUUUUUUAGGGCCACACCUGUGGCACAUGGAACUUCCCAGGCUAGGGGUUGAAUCAGAGCUCCAGCUGCUGGCCUACACCACAGCCACAGCAACACCAGAUCCAAGUCGUGUCUGUGACCUACACCACAGCUCACGGCAAUACUAGAUCCUUAACCCGCUGAGUGGGGCCUGGGAUUGAACCUGCAUCUUCAUGGAUACUAGUCAGGUUCAUUAUUGGUGAGCCACAGCAGGAACUCCAUGGAAGCUUUUGUUAAAAAUACAUCCUCAUGUUUUAAAACGCUAGAGACCAAAACGAGCGCUUUUAAUAAACACGCCCCUUUCCAGGCAUCUCUCCUAUUAGCAAGAGGGUGACACUUCCAUAGCUUCUUUCAAGUUACAAAUUAAUUGAUUUUUUAAAUUCUCUGAUUUUGUUUCUCUGUCUCAUAAGACAUGGCGUAAUUUGAAAUGGCAAACGCUCAUAAACCCACAGAGUACUCAACCAUCCUCCUUAAAAUUCUGUAAUUUUCUAUUCUUCAGCAAGGAAGAAUAGUCUAGUAGAUUCUGUGUUUAUUUUUCAGUGACACCAAACAGAGGAGCUAUUGGUGUGCCUUUAGACUAAAGCUUUCCAUGUAAUUCUGACAAACCUGCACUGAUUCGAAAAAUAAUGAGUUCCCGUAGUGGUGCAGUGGAAACAAACCCGACUAGGAACCAUGAGCCACGACGCGAAGUCCUACUUAACCAGUCUUUUACUCACAGGCACUUUACAUUGUUUCACAUUUUAACCAACGCUGAUAUCGGUACAAUAAGUAUCUUCAGAAAGACUUCUUUGUUUAUACUUAUAAACUCUACUGGAUAAAUUCCUAGAAAUUAAAUCUUUCGGUCAAAGAUUAUAUACAUUUCAAUUUUGAGUGGCACUGCUCACGAAACUGCAUCAGGUUACACGUGAGCGCCUGCUUCUCCACAUCUUUCCAACACGCUUUGUUAUCAGAUAUUCUUUUUGCCAAUCUAACGGUGACAUAUCACAUUUUACCAGUCGCAUUUCUUGCAUUGUAAGUGGAAUCGGGCCUCUUUCCAUGUUUACAAACAUGUUUCUAUUUCUCUCUGUUUAAAUUCUCAAUUCAAAUUGGUUUGAAGAGCACAUUAUGCAUGAAGGGAAAACAUGGCCCUUUUCUCAGUUUUAGGUCUUGGAAACAUCCUUUCCUAGUCUACGCUUUGUCAUUUGAUCUCGUUUCUUGUAUUUCUGAACCACGUAGAAGUUUUAUAUGAGAGCUAUCACUUUUAUAUUCACCAACAAAAUCUAGCUGACAUUUCUGAACACAAAUAUGCUUCCUUCCAAGAGACAUGAAGUCAGACAGAAAAAUGAGCAAUCAGUCACCAAAAAUCCUUCCCCUGAAGUUAUGAGAAUGUGGAAGAGCAAAGAGCUGUUAACCAAACCAGUGCUGGCACCCAGUGACGUAGUUCGUGGAAAGGGCAUCUGCAGACCCCUGGAAAGGCACACUUUCUCCUUUUGUUUGCAGAGUCCGUGUGCUUGUCCGCAUCUCAGAGUCCAGCAACCCCCUUGGCCUCCAGUGAAAGAUGCCUUGGCUUAGCCGUUUCGGAACAGAAGUGAUUACAGAUGAAGAAUUGGGCCUUGCCCUGCCCACAGCAGACUCUUCCACGCAACACCCACUCAAUGCACACAAAAAAGGAGAGCUGGUCAACAGACAGAGACUAUGGCCCAGCACGACACCAAAGGGGAAAACAAAACAAAACAAAAAAACCAUUAAUGAGGCAGGUUCUCCAACUACCCACUAACUCCCCCGGCAACGUACAGGUGACACAAGUGCUCAGACAACUACUUCUCUCCUGGCACCACCUCCUUCUUACUUCUCUCUAGCCAAAGACUAGAAAAACAC